CAGCAGCCACGGGAAUACGAAGGGGGCUAGCGUUGUUCGGAUUUACUGGGCGUAAAGGGCGCGUAGGCGGACUGAUAAGUCAGGGGUGAAAUCCCAAGGCUCAACCUUGGAACUGCCUUUGAUACUGUUUGUCUUGAGUUCGAGAGAGGUAAGUGGAACUGCGAGUGUAGAGGUGAAAUUCGUAGAUAUUCGCAAGAACACCAGUGGCGAAGGCGGCUUACUGGCUCGAAACUGACGCUGAGGCGCGAAAGCGUGGGGAGCAAACAGGAUUAGAUACCCGCGUAGUCCCUGUCUCUUAUAC
This 301-nucleotide ribosomal RNA is filed under the name uncultured bacterium. Its description in RNAcentral is "partial 16S ribosomal RNA". It matches the Rfam family "Bacterial small subunit ribosomal RNA", at positions 509 to 807 of the family's 1533-position model. The record is from RNAcentral.